Molecule: long non-coding RNA, 467 nt
Filed under: Triticum aestivum (bread wheat)
Lineage: Eukaryota; Viridiplantae; Streptophyta; Magnoliopsida; Poales; Poaceae
Description: long non-coding RNA (TAES_LNC002384)
Source: RNAcentral
UGAAUCUUGUGCAUUGUAUUAUGUAUUGUCCCCCAUUGUCAGACAAGUGUUUUUCUGUUUCUUGUUUGCAUGAUAUGCAAAGUACUUAACAUUUCAUGUUUUACCCAUAACUUGGUUGUCUUAAUUAAUACAGAUCUACAUGAAACUUAUAUGUAGCAGAUAUUAUGUUAUUCUCGUUUGUAUCAGUGUAAGAUUUAAGAAUUUUGGAUAACACGUGAUUCAGUUUUUACAUUUGUUACAAUUCUCUUCUAUCUAUUUAUAUCUAACAUAUCUGAUGGUCUUGUAAAUAUGCUAGGUAUGAUUGCAUAGCGGGCUACUUGGUGCUGUCAAUAACAAUCAGCAUGACAUGAUACAUAGUUUCCAUCAGGAGGGCCGACGACAAGAUGAAUAAUAACUUGAAUAGUUUAGAUGUUAUCUUUGUCUGAGCUGGAUUGUACUAUUUCCUAACUUUGUUGAGUGAUAUUUUG